CAAGCAAUAGCCGUCAUUUCAACGUCUCGUUUCAGUAUAGACCCGAUAUAGCCGGGCUGUGUCUAGCCCAUAUCUAGCCCAAAUAAACUUUAAUUUGGUUACAUGUGGUUUUUGACAAAAUACUUUGUGAGAUGUAUGCUAUUUCAUCAUGUAAGCAAAGUUAACAGCGAUUACAAGUUACAACUCCGAACCGCUAGAUGGCAGCUGCAGUACACAAACACGAGGCCAAAUCUCGCGAGAAAGACUUCCGCUGUUUGAAAAUCAACACCAGCGAGCAGCCAGGGGGAAAGCAAUCUACCACACUCGUUUGGUCUUGUGUCAAAGCUGUGCGAAACUGGAGGGAGAAACUUGAGAGACCGUGCCGGAAGAAUGCUGGACAGAGUUCCAUAAAAUUCAUUAAUUUCAAAGUUCAACAUGAAUGGUGGUGGUCCACUGCAGAAGCAAGCAUUUGAAAAAACAUCAGUUCUCAGUUAUUAAAGAUGCUGUGUUGAACAACUUCCCAGCAGCAACAGAACUGGAAGUGAAGGAUGCAAUGGGGGGCAUUUCAAACAGGCACCAGGGAGGACGUGGUGUAUAGAAAUUAGUACAAUUAAUAAGUUGAAGUGAACUGAAGAUAGUUUGUUAAUGUUUAGAUGUUAUUUCAUUUUUAAAAUUGUAUUUUGUUAUUUAUGCUUUUAUUUUGUUACUGUUUUUAUUCUUUUUGUUAAAAGUAGUUUUUCUUCAUUUUGUCUUAUCUGAAUUUCUAUUGUAUUAAUACUAUUUUUUGUAAUAAAUUGCAGGAUUACAUGUUUAUGAGAACCUUUUUUAAUGGAUUAAAAAGAA
Non-coding RNA from Misgurnus anguillicaudatus (oriental weatherfish), 822 nucleotides. The record is from RefSeq and is a predicted model, not a curated record. Lineage: Eukaryota; Metazoa; Chordata; Actinopteri; Cypriniformes; Cobitidae.